CCACGGGCGCAUUCCACAACGAAAAUUUAUUAGUAGCUGGCAUAGUCACUGGACUACUCGUCCUCACUAGUGCUGCCAUCGUCACUGCUGCUACGGUCCCACAGCACGUCGUCGUCCAGCGAAAUUCCGCAUUUGCAUGCAUAAGUGCGCUUGCAUACAUAAGUCCACGCCGAAAGCACCCAACCACACACAGCCGUCAGGGAGGCUCUUCUGCCGCCAGCGACUCGUACUCACGGCGGAGAAGGUCCUUAAAAAGCGAAGAUCCAGGCUUGUGUCAUGACCAUGUCGUACGUCACUGGCAGGGACCGAUCACACAUUUCAGCGAUGUACGCCGCAAGCUUGGCCUCCAGCUCCGGAAAGCGUCCCGACUCCGGCCCGCGGAAACCUCUUCGUUUGCCGUCACAGCCUGCCAACACCACAUAUCACCACUCCAAGGAUAAUGCUCAUGACCAUGGCUCUCACAUGCUUUGAGAUAAACUGCCAUUCAGAGGUAAGCAAGGUACCACUGUAAUAUAACUGAAAUGUUUUGGGGCAAGUGAAAAAAAAAAAAAUUUAGUGUAACGCAUUUGUCGAGUUCCAGUAUGUCUUUAUUUAGAUUAAAUAAAACAGUACAAGAACUGACAUUUGUAAUCAUGGAACACUGCUCUCACUCUUAACACUAAUACUCUCAAUGCAUCAUGUAACUUUCACUUUGUUAGCUAAGGUGUGAAUCUGUCAAACUUUUUUUGUGUGGUCUGAAUGCAAUGCCAUAAAAACCUACUGCUGCUAAUCUUUUCAUUCUUUUGCCAUUUCUUGCAGAAAAGUUUGCAUGCCAGCAUCAGCAGACUUGAUCACAGUAUUGAUCGGCACAAGCAACAAGCCUCACAGAAGGAAAUCAAAUACUUUGUUCUUCCUUGUUUCCUCCAAAACCCUGAUACUGCAUUAACGCUUAGCCGCAUCAAACACAUUGCGGGUACCUGCUUAAUAGCCUCUUCCCAGGUGCUCUAGCAAGGUUUCACACCAUAAAACAUUUCCAUGUACUUAGGCAUGUACAGUUCAUAUACAAAAUUAAAUGCUAGUCGCUAUUCCACAUAUCUUCACAUAAGGUUUUUGUAACAGAUUGAUGUGCCUGUUAUGUACACCAUAUUUUACAGGAUGUUCCCAAAAAGACAAGACAGAAAUGGACGACAGCCCUCUAAGCGAAACAGCAAUUGCAGGAUGAGCAACCACACUCGAGAGAGCAGCGGCUGCCAAGCAGGCAACCAAAUGCCUGCUUAGCCCCACCAACCAGAGAGUGAAAGAACAAGAACCAAGCAGAACAAGAUGCAGAAGUAAUGCCAAGCAGUAGUUCCCUCCAACCCAGAGCAGUACUGCACAAGUUCCAGGAUCACACCUUGCACUAAAGAUAACAAAGUCUAGAUACAGCAGUUAAGCAAGGUAUGCGCACAAUUGCGUUAAAAUAAACGCAAGAUGCAGUGUGUUCAUGA
This 1466-nucleotide long non-coding RNA is filed under the name Dermacentor andersoni. RNAcentral describes it as "uncharacterized LOC126547137". The record is from RNAcentral. Lineage: Eukaryota; Metazoa; Arthropoda; Arachnida; Ixodida; Ixodidae.